This is a long non-coding RNA of Odocoileus virginianus texanus, 648 nucleotides long. RefSeq lists it as uncharacterized. The record is from RefSeq and is a predicted model, not a curated record. NCBI's taxonomy places the organism in Eukaryota, Metazoa, Chordata, Mammalia, Artiodactyla, Cervidae.
AACAUUGUUCUGACUGUGUGUCUGUGGAUACAUUAAAAGCGUUGAAGUCACACACUGAAAUGAGAUGAAUUACAUGGUGUGUGAAUUAGAGCUCAGAAACGCUGUUUAGAGACAAAAAAAGGAAGACUGAGGCUUGAGGCGGUGCGUGUCACUCCUGCCAGAAGCGUGACUGUGGAAGGCUGAGGGCAGUGUCUUAAGAGAGGAAGUCAAACCCAAAGUUGUUCUGGUAGAAGAGGCUUGAGAACGUGUCAGACCGGGAAGGAAGGAGCCGGGAAACGACGCCACAGAGAGGGGUGACAUCGGAAGCCUCAGAGCAGACGGAAAGUGAUUUGAGCCUGGAAGCCUGGAGCCCAAGAAGCUUCUGCAGCCAUCUAGUGACCAUGAGGUCCAGCACACCCGCCUGGAUGGAGCUGACUGAAAGAGCAGGGAGAAACUGGAUCCCGAAUCCUGAUCCUGUCAGUUGAGCUGCUGAAGAACUGUCUCUAGAUUUUUCAGAGUAAUUUUUUAUCUAUUGUUAAAGAUACUGAAAUUGACUUUUUGUUAUUAAAACAGAAAUAGAUCUGUUAUUUAACAAACAAAGCAUCAAAGCUGAUAAAACCCCAAUAUGCUAAAAAAAAAAAUGAGUAUCUUUAGAAGAUUUUCAUAUAC